GGUCACGAAAUUAUAAAACCAAAACAAGUUGACGACGAUAAAACUAUAUACUCGGGUAGGUUCCUACCUAGUGAAUAAAUCGAUUUAAAAACGACCGCUUUCCCGUUUCUUAUUUUUAAAACACACCUUGUAUAGAACCAUGGAUUUUGCAUCCCUCGGCUGAGAUAAUCAUUCAAAGCCGAAGUCAAUUAGGGUUACGAAUUUACAAUUGGCUAAUAUUAGGUAAUCACUCGCAAACAAGUGAUAACUUACCGUAGGCACGAUUGUCAAAUUACGCAUACAGAAC
This is a non-coding RNA of Cinara cedri, 286 nucleotides long. Lineage: Eukaryota; Metazoa; Arthropoda; Insecta; Hemiptera; Aphididae. The record is from the annotation of a GenBank genome assembly.